Long non-coding RNA from Suricata suricatta (meerkat), 517 nucleotides. RefSeq lists it as uncharacterized. The transcript is spliced from 3 exons. The record is from RefSeq and is a predicted model, not a curated record. Lineage: Eukaryota; Metazoa; Chordata; Mammalia; Carnivora; Herpestidae.
CGUGCCUCAAGGCACAGACACCUACGGAGACACACCCCCACUCUUUUUCCAUCCAGCUGUUGCUCACUUUUGCCAGAAAACCCCAGAUCUUCCAGUGACCUGCGCUAAGAGAAAGGGGUGGAGCGUGAGAGAGGAGGUGCCCUCAGAAGUUCUGGGUUCCAUUCAGUUUGUGGCCGGGGAAGCUGAUGGGCACAGUGCCCUGGGAUGCCCUCCACUUUAGCAGGGUGAUUGUAUCCAACGGAUGGUCAUGGCCUGGCACCCACUGGAAGGCGGCUGACAUAUGAAGACACUCAGAUUUUUGCCAAUGGGCAGCACUGAUCUGCCAAGCAAGUGAAUGAGCCACCUUAGAAGCAAAUACUCUAACCUCAGUCAACUGUACAGGAAACUGCAGCACCGGCUGACGUUUUGACAGCAAUCACAUGAAAGACUCCAGACCGGGAUCACCCACCUAAGUCACUCCUUACCCAUAGAAACCGUGUUUAUUAAUAAAUAAGAAACAGAUGUUUGUUAUUGGUUU